Molecule: ribosomal RNA, 713 nt
Filed under: Capronia sp. SJ159
Lineage: Eukaryota; Fungi; Ascomycota; Eurotiomycetes; Chaetothyriales; Herpotrichiellaceae
Description: eukaryotic LSU rRNA
Rfam family: Eukaryotic large subunit ribosomal RNA
Source: RNAcentral
UAACGGCGAGUGAAGCGGCAACAGCUCAAAUUUGAAAUCUGGCCUCUUUGGGGUCCGAGUUGUAAUUUGUAGAGGAUGUUUCGGGUACCGCCCCGGUCUAAAUUUCUUGGAACAGAAUGUCAGAGAGGGUGAGAAUCCCGUCUUGGACCGGCGGUAGGGCCCAUGUGAAACUCCUUCGACGAGUCGAGUUGUUUGGGAAUGCAGCUCAAAAUGGGUGGUAUAUUUCAUCUAAAGCUAAAUAUUGGCCAGAGACCGAUAGCGCACAAGUAGAGUGAUCGAAAGAUGAAAAGAACUUUGAAAAGAGAGUUAAACAGUAUGUGAAAUUGUUGAAAGGGAAGCGCUUGCAACCAGACUUGAGCGCGGCGGUUCCCCCUUCCUUUUGGUUGGGUUACUCCGUCGUGUCCAGGCCAACAUCGGUUCUGGGGGUCGGUUAAAGGCUUGGGGAAUGUACCUACGUCUUCGGGCGUAGACUUAUAGCCCCGAGUGUCAUGCGACCUCCCGGGACCGAGGAACGCGCUUCGGCUCGGAUGUUGGCGUAAUGGUUGUAAGCGGCCCGUCUUGAAACACGGACCAAGGAGUCUAACAUCUAUGCGAGUGUUUGGGUGUCAAACCCGGAACGCGGAAUGAAAGUGAACGGAGGUAGGAAGCUUCGGCUGCACUAUCGACCGAUCCUGAUGUCUUCGGAUGGAUUUGAGUAAGAGCAUAGCUGUUGG